This 468-nucleotide ribosomal RNA is filed under the name uncultured bacterium. RNAcentral describes it as "bacterial SSU rRNA". It matches the Rfam family "Bacterial small subunit ribosomal RNA", at positions 30 to 517 of the family's 1533-position model. The record is from RNAcentral.
AUUGAACGCUGGCGGCAUGCCUUACACAUGCAAGUCGAACGGCAGCACGGGAGCAAUCCUGGUGGCGAGUGGCGAACGGGUGAGUAAUAUAUCGGAACGUGCCCAGUCGUGGGGAUAACGUAGCGAAAGCUACGCUAAUACCGCAUACGAUCUAUGGAUGAAAGCGGGGGAUCGCAAGACCUCGCGCGAUUGGAGCGGCCGAUAUCAGAUUAGGUAGUUGGUGAGGUAAAGGCUCACCAAGCCGACGAUCUGUAGCUGGUCUGAGAGGACGACCAGCCACACUGGGACUGAGACACGGCCCAGACUCCUACGGGAGGCAGCAGCGGGGAAUAUUGGACAAUGGGCGAAAGCCUGAUCCAGCAAUGCCGCGUGAGUGAUGAAGGCCUUAGGGUUGUAAAGCUCUUUUACCCGAGAUGAUAAUGACAGUAUCGGGAGAAUAAGCUCCGGCUAACUCCGUGCCAGCAGCCG